ACGGUAGAGGUUCUUAGCUACCCUCUCUAAAAAACUAAGAAGGA
Molecule: non-coding RNA, 44 nt
Filed under: Schinkia azotoformans LMG 9581
Lineage: Bacteria; Bacillati; Bacillota; Bacilli; Caryophanales; Bacillaceae
Description: Bacillus azotoformans LMG 9581 PreQ1 (pre queuosine) riboswitch aptamer
Rfam family: PreQ1 (pre queuosine) riboswitch aptamer
About the family: This family is a bacterial riboswitch that binds to the metabolite preQ1, an intermediate in the biosynthesis of the modified nucleoside queuosine from GTP. One example of this riboswitch is located in the leader of the Bacillus subtilis ykvJKLM (queCDEF) operon which encodes four genes necessary for queuosine production. PreQ1 binding to the riboswitch aptamer is thought to induce premature transcription termination within the leader to down-regulate expression of these genes.
Source: Rfam by way of RNAcentral